CACCUCCACUCAAUCACACAAACAUAAGAGUAUAUUUAGAGUUACCGAGCAGAAUGAAAUCACAGAGAGAUGAGAGCCAAUUUUGAGUCAGGGUCAAGCUAGUAGUGAUGUGUAUGUGUUUAUGUUGCCAGUGCGAUAUCAGCUCUCUAGAUGUUACAAGUUUACAACUAUGUGAAGAAGGAUAUCCAAGGACUCACCUCUCUUAGAAAUUUUGUCACUUGACUUUGGCACUGAUGGUGUGAAGAAUUGCUAGAUUCAUUUCCAGAGAAGGGGAAUUUAUUCAGUACUCUCACUUAUCUCAGACUCUACUUCUUAAUCUUAAGAAAAUGGACAUUGUCAAGUGGUUUUGACAUCUCAACUCGCUUGAAACUUUGAAGAGUCUGUAUUACUCAUCUCAGUUCGAAAAUAUUUUGAGGUUAAUUUUUGGGCCUCCUGGAACACACCUUCUCAGAGAGCGAACCAGAAAGGAGCGUUACAUUAAUCAGCAAAGAAACUUGGUUUCGCGUGGCAAACAAUAACACAUGAUCAAACAAUGUUGCGCCUUGAAUGAUACUUCACUUACUCAUGACCUGUAAGAUUCUUUCCUUUCCAUAUCAGUCAAUUGAUAAGUACUGUUACGGGCAUUUUUAUUUGGACUGCUGAUAAAUUCAUGUCAAAGAAAAUCAGACAUGGUCUUAAAAUUAAAUGAAUAACAGUAUUCUAGUUCCCAUUGGACUUUACAGCUGUGAGAGGUAACUUCCUUGCUGGAAUUUCUAUGCCUUGAAGGAGGGAUGACUGACAAGCUGUGGAUCCUCUUCUGAUCAAAGCUGCUAGAGUUUUUUUCCUGGGCUCUCCGGAGUUAUACAAUGCUGCCAGCCUGCAACUAAGGCAUGUCACAGCAAGGAAAUUCUUUGGCAGACUAUCAACUCACUGACCCUUUAGGACAUUCUGGAGGCCCACGGGAGGUGUCUACGUUGUUGUUACUUCAUUUAUUUACUUAUAGGCCCUCAGAUAGCCGGGCAAACUUUUCAAGGAGCAGACAUAGAAAUAGUACAAAGAGGCGUUUUGCAGUUUGCAGUAUGUAUUACCUCUAUCUACACCGGAAGAUACUAGUAUUAAACAGUAGUAUGGUACUAGACUACUAGAUACAUGAAUUCAGCAGCAACUAGUUCUGCCUAUUCUAGAAAAGUAGUAGAUUAUCAAACUUUAUUGUUUUUGUAUAAAUGAAUUGAGAUAUUUGAUUUU
Rosa chinensis is the source of this 1224-nucleotide long non-coding RNA. RefSeq lists it as uncharacterized. The transcript is spliced from 5 exons. The record is from RefSeq and is a predicted model, not a curated record. Lineage: Eukaryota; Viridiplantae; Streptophyta; Magnoliopsida; Rosales; Rosaceae.